Molecule: long non-coding RNA, 3061 nt
Filed under: Olea europaea (common olive)
Lineage: Eukaryota; Viridiplantae; Streptophyta; Magnoliopsida; Lamiales; Oleaceae
Description: long non-coding RNA (OEUR_LNC014994)
Source: RNAcentral
UUUUCUUGAGUCUGAGCCCUAUUCAUGAAAGGAACUUCAUCUUGAUGUCGUGUGGCUUGAGUUCUCUGUGAAUGACUGGAGGAUUUAAUUUUCUGCCUCUUUUCUUGUAAUCUUUCUUGUUCAUUUUCUGUGAUUUUGUACUGAUAGAUUGUUGUAACAGUGGUAUCAGAGCCUUCGUCUGGCUCGUGUGGGUGAAUCGAACCACAUCCUUACCUGUUGCAGUGGAUCUGGUAAAAUCGUUUUAGACUCAAAACCCUAGAUCUUGAGUUCUUUGUGAUAAAUCUCUAUUUCUUGAUGAAACACUGCUUCGGUGAUAUGAGUUGUUCGAACUUGGGUAAUACUUGACUGCCUCUUCGUGGAACUGUGUGUGGUCAAGUGUAACGACCACCAUUGUGGUUUUAACUCUUGAACUUAAAUCUUUACUGCCUUAUUUCAUCGUUUACACGUUUUAGUUGACUGAUAUUCUCUGUUGAUUGCUUUGUGAAUUUGGAAUUUCGUACUUAAGCAAUAAACUGUCUAUACUUGUUUUGUUAAGAGUAACACAGUGUGCUUGUGUACUUAGCCUGAAAUCUGCCUAUAUUCAUCUGGUAAAAGUAUACUUGAGUUUAGUUACUGAUCCUUGAUGUACUUGAAUAUUGUAGCAGUUUGUUCUGUUCUUAUAUUCUGUACUAAUUUCUCUCCUAAUUUUUGGUAUCAAAUAAAACAUCUACCCUUUACCCAAGCCUUGACCUGAGAUCUUGAGUCUCAAGGAAUCCUGGUAGGGCAGGGUAGUUGAUUUCUUUAACUUGAUAUUGGAGACAGUGUGUAUUUUUUUUAAUUAAUAUUUCCGCACUUACACACAUUAUGUUGCUUUGCCUGUGUUAUGAAGAAUCUCUGUUUCUCAUCUGUAUGUUGUGAUCAAAUCAGAAAUUACUGAGUGUGACUUGUUUGAUCUAGAAAAUGACUUCCACUAGUUUUGAACUUGGGGUCUUUAAUGGGAAGGGAGAUUUUCCUAUAUGGCAGCAAAAAAUGAGAGGGGUUUUAGUACAACAAAAGGUCUCUAAGGCAAUAACAGGAGAGUUUCCUGAAACAAUGACACAAGAUCAGAAAACUGAAUCAGAUGAUUUAGCCUAUACCUCAAUUAUUCUCCACCUAUCUGACCAAGUUCUAAGGAAGGUAGGGAAAUUAGAGAAUGCUCAGGCCUUAUGGGAGAAAUUAGAGGAAUUAUACUUAGUGAAAUCCUUACCAAAUAAACUCUUCCUUCUAGAAAGGUUUUUUAGUUUUAAGAUUGAUCCAACCAAAGACCUGGAUGAUAAUCUUGAUAUCUUUAAUAAAUUGGUACAAGAUAUCACCAAUACAGGGGAUAAAAUUUCUGAAGAAUAUAAAGCAGUAAUACUUCUUAAUGCUAUACCCGAUGCAUAUAGGGACGUCAAAUCUGCCAUUAAGUAUGGCAGAGAUACUUUAACUCCAGAAGUUGUUAUAAAUUCCAUAAGAAGUAAAGAAUUGGAACUUAAAACUGAAAAACAUGGGAAGGAACAUGAGAGUUUGUACAUAAGGGGAAGGCAACCAAAUCGGCAAAAUAAUAACUAUCCAAAUCAAAACAAUUCUGGAAACAGUAAUAGGAAGAAGUUCAGGAGUAAAUCAAGAUCUAAAUCAAAAUCUAGAAAUAACAGAAAGUGCUAUACUGCUAUAACAAGAAAAUUGAACCUAAAGAGAAGAAUGUUGAUGAGGGGAAUGUAGUUGAGCCUGCUGAGCCUAAUACAGUUGAUGUAUAUGUGGUGGCUCAGCAACCUGACCUGGAAGUGGCUAAUUAUGCCCACAACAGAUAUGUACAUGAGUGGAUUUUGGACUCAGGCUGCACCUUUCAUAUUACACAUGAAAGGGCCUGGCUUCAAGAUUUUAAAAGGCUAGCUGGUGGUGAAGUAGUGAUGGGAAACACCCGAUGCAUAUAGGGAUGUCAAAUCUGCCAUUAAGUAUGGCAGAGAUACUUUGACUCCAGAAGUUGUUAUAAAUUCCAUAAGAAGUAAAGAAUUGGAACUUAAAACUGAAAAACAUGGGAAGGAACAUGAGAGUUUGUACAUAAGGGGAAGGCAACCAAAUCGGCAAAAUAAUAACUAUCCAAAUCAAAACAAUCCUGGAAACAGUAAUAGGAAGAAGUUCAGGAGUAAAUCAAGAUCUAAAUCAAAAUCUAGAAAUAACAGAAAGUGCUAUGGCUGUGGUAAGCUCGGUCAUUACAUAAAAGACUGCUAUAACAAGAAAAUUGAACCUAAAGAGAAGAAUGUUGAUGAGGGGAAUGUAGUUGAGCCUGCUGAGCCUAAUACAGUUGAUGUAUAUGUGGUGGCUCAGCAACCUGACCUGGAAGUGGCUAAUUAUGCCCACAACAGAUAUGUACAUGAGUGGAUUUUGGACUCAGGCUGCACCUUUCAUAUUACACAUGAAAGGUCCUGGCUUCAAGAUUUUAAAAGGCUAGCUGGUGGUGAAGUAGUGAUGGAAAAUAAUAUAGCCUGCAGAGUUGAAGGGUUAGGAAAUGUGACCCUAAAAUUUGAAAAUGGAUACAUGUAUACCCUAGAGAGAGUUAGAUAUGUCCCUGAACUCAAAAGAAAUCUGAUAUCUAUGGGAGAAUUAGAUGACCUAGGGCUGUGUGGUAGGAUUGGAGAUGGAUUGAUGAAAGUGAUCAAGGGAUCUCUUGUCAUCUUUAAGGGUGUUAAGAAAAAUGGAAUCUAUGUAGUUAGAGCUGAAAUAAUACUUGAACAUAAUGCAACUAUCUCUAAUACUGAAUCUGAUUCCACCUUAAAAUGGCAUAAAAGGCUUGCACAUGUGGGUGAAAAAGGCCUCACAAUUCUACAAAAAGGCGGGGUAUUUGGUAAGGACCAAAUAUCAAAAAUACCUUUCUGUGAAAGUUGCACCUUUGGCAAACAUCACAGACUCCAUUUUAAUUCUGGAAAACAUAAAACUACCUCUCCAUUGGAAUAUGUCCACUCUGAUUUGUGGGGUCCAGCCUCCACAACUACUCCGGGGGGGAAUAAGUAUUUCCUCUCUAUAAUAGAUGACUUUUCAAGAAAGGUGUGGGUGUUUCUUUUAA